CAUGAGAUCCAGUUAUUCUCAGCUGGGGAACACAAAUAUGUACAAGCCAUUUUAAGGGUUUCCAGAUAUGAAGUUGUGUGGAGGCAGGAUACCAGGCUGCCCUGUUUACAAAUAUAUCCCAGUGUUAGUACAACGACUAACCCAUGAGAAGCCCACCUGCUCCAGAAAGCAACCAUUAGCGUUAUGGAUCCAAAUUUCCCGUGAUCAUUCCUACGAUGACCCUAAAAGGCGAUGCUAGACUGGAGAGUCUGCGGAUCAGUGCUUGACUACUUCCUGAAGGCUGAGAAGAUUAUGUGUGGUGGCAGAACGUUGGUAUUGAGGGUACAUAAAUGCAGGAACUGCCAGAGUGGAGGCUGCAGAAGGGGGCUUCGGAGGAUGAUGAAGAAACAGACGCUAGAGCGCUUAUCUGUUCAAGUAUUUAUUGAUUAUUCACGACGUGCCAGGCACUGUAUUAACAGAGGGCUUCAGCAGUAGACCUACCAAUGUCCCUACUUUAACUGAGCAAAUUCCGAUGCAGUAAGCCAGGUAACACACACACAUAAACACAUAUAUCACAUACAUACAUAUGUACAUGUCAGGUGGAAAUAAAUGCUAAUUAUAAAACCAAAGCAGAGCAAGGGAACAGCGAAUGAGGGUGGCUGCUAUUUCAGGAGACUCCCCCCACCC
This is a non-coding RNA of Kogia breviceps (pygmy sperm whale), 666 nucleotides long. The record is from RefSeq and is a predicted model, not a curated record. Lineage: Eukaryota; Metazoa; Chordata; Mammalia; Artiodactyla; Physeteridae.